Molecule: ribosomal RNA, 590 nt
Filed under: Meira argovae
Lineage: Eukaryota; Fungi; Basidiomycota; Exobasidiomycetes; Exobasidiales; Brachybasidiaceae
Description: partial large subunit ribosomal RNA
Rfam family: Eukaryotic large subunit ribosomal RNA
Source: RNAcentral
CCUUAGUAACGGCGAGUGAAGCGGGAAUAGCUCAAAUUUGAAAGCUGGCAGCAAUGUCCGCGUUGUAAUCUCGAGAAGUGUUUUCCGUGCUGGACCAUAGAUAUGUUCCUUGGAAUAGGAUGUCAAAGAGGGUGAGAAUCCCGUACAUGCUAUGGACGCCCAGUGCUUUGUGAUACACUUUCGAAGAGUCGAGUUGUUUGGGAAUGCAGCUCAAAAUGGGUGGUAAAUUCCAUCUAAAGCUAAAUAUUGGGGAGAGACCGAUAGCAAACAAGUACCGUGAGGGAAAGAUGAAAAGCACUUUGGAAAGAGAGUUAAACAGUACGUGAAAUUGUCAAAAGGGAAGCGCUUCAAGUCAGAUAUGGCUUUGAAUGUUCAGCCUUUAGGUGUAUUCAUUUUUUGUCAGGCCAGCAUCGAUUUUGAACGUCGGAUAAGGGUAGAAGGAAUGUAGCAUACUUUCGGGUAUGUGUUAUAGCCUUUUACUGGAUACGACGAUCGGGAUCGAGGUUCGCAGCACACCCUUUUUUGGGCAGGUCUUCGGACACUUUUGUGCUUAGGAUGCUGGCGUAAUGGCUUGAAGCGACCCGUCUUGA